GACGAACGCUGGCGGCGUGCUUAACACAUGCCAGUCGAACGGAAAGGCCCUGCUUUUGUGGGGUGCUCGAGUGGCGAACGGGUGAGUAACACGUGAGUAACCUGCCCUUGACUUUGGGAUAACUUCAGGAAACUGGGGCUAAUACCGGAUAGGAGCUCCUGCUGCAUGGUGGGGGUUGGAAAGUUUCGGCGGUUGGGGAUGGACUCGCGGCUUAUCAGCUUGUUGGUGGGGUAGUGGCUUACCAAGGCUUUGACGGGUAGCCGGCCUGAGAGGGUGACCGGCCACAUUGGGACUGAGAUACGGCCCAGACUCCUACGGGAGGCAGCAGUGGGGAAUAUUGCACAAUGGGCGGAAGCCUGAUGCAGCAACGCCGCGUGUGGGAUGACGGCCUUCGGGUUGUAAACCGCUUUCGCCUGUGACGAAGCGUGAGUGACGGUAAUGGGUAAAGAAGCACCGGCUAACUACGUG
This 468-nucleotide ribosomal RNA is filed under the name uncultured bacterium. RNAcentral describes it as "partial 16S ribosomal RNA". It matches the Rfam family "Bacterial small subunit ribosomal RNA", at positions 28 to 507 of the family's 1533-position model. The record is from RNAcentral.